GAGGGGAGCGCUGUCUAGUGACACCACCUCUCCCAAGCCCAGACCCCCCGGACGGCCAGGCAGGCUCCUGUGGGCCAGACAGCAGACCUUCUAUGGCUAUCUUUGAACUGCUGGACUAUAUAGUUAAUGAGCCUCCUCCUAAGCUGCCUGGUAUUUUCGGCGCUGAAUUUCAAGACUUUGUGAAUAAAUGUUUGAUCAAGAACCCAACAGACAGGGCAGACCUGAAGCAGUUGAUGGU
Non-coding RNA from Salvelinus sp. IW2-2015, 238 nucleotides. NCBI's taxonomy places the organism in Eukaryota, Metazoa, Chordata, Actinopteri, Salmoniformes, Salmonidae. The record is from RefSeq and is a predicted model, not a curated record.